AACGAACGCUGGCGGCAUGCCUAACACAUGCAAGUCGAACGAGACCUUCGGGUCUAGUGGCGCACGGGUGCGUAACGCGUGGGAACCUGCCUUUAGGUUCGGAAUAACUCAGAGAAAUUUGAGCUAAUACCGGUUGAUGUCUUCGGACCAAAGAUUUAUCGCUUUUAGAUGGGCCCGCGUUGGAUUAGCUGGUUGGUGGGGUAAAGGCCGACCAAGGCGACGAUCCAUAGCUGGUCUGAGAGGAUGCUCCGCAGCACUGGGACUGAGACACGGCCCAGACUCCUACGGGAGGCAGCAGUAGGGUAUAUUAGACACUGGGCGAAAGCCUGGUACAGCCAUGCCGCGUGAGUGAUGAAGGCCUUAGGGUUGUACAUCUCUUUUAGCCGAGAUGAUAAUGACAGUAUCGGGAGAAUAAGCUCCGGCUAACUCCGUG
This 433-nucleotide ribosomal RNA is filed under the name uncultured bacterium. RNAcentral's name for it is "partial 16S ribosomal RNA". It matches the Rfam family "Bacterial small subunit ribosomal RNA", at positions 29 to 507 of the family's 1533-position model. The record is from RNAcentral.